This 497-nucleotide ribosomal RNA is filed under the name uncultured bacterium. RNAcentral's name for it is "partial 16S ribosomal RNA". It matches the Rfam family "Bacterial small subunit ribosomal RNA", at positions 28 to 507 of the family's 1533-position model. The record is from RNAcentral.
GACGAACGCUGGCGGCGUGCCUAAUACAUGCAAGUUGAGCGCUGAAGGUUGGUACUUGUACCAACUGGAUGAGCAGCGAACGGGUGAGUAACGCGUGGGGAAUCUGCCUUUGAGCGGGGGACAACAUUUGGAAACGAAUGCUAAUACCGCAUAAAAACUUUAAACACAAGUUUUAAGUUUGAAAGAUGCAAUUGCAUCACUCAAAGAUGAUCCCGCGUUGUAUUAGCUAGUUGGUGAGGUAAAGGCUCACCAAGGCGAUGAUACAUAGCCGACCUGAGAGGGUGGUCGGCCACAUUGGGGCUGAGACACGGCCCAAACUCCUACGGGAGGCAGCAGUAGGGAAUCUUCGGCAAUGGACGAAAGUCUGACCGAGCAACGCCGCGUGAGUGAAGAAGGUUUUCGGAUCGGAAAACUCUGUUGGUAGAGAAGAACGUUGGUGAGAGUGGAAAGCUCAUCAAGUGACGGUAACUACCCAGAAAGGGACGGCUAACUACGUG